ACUUCACCAGAAGCGUUCGCAUUGCAGAAAGAAGGAGGUGAACAAUCGUCGAGGGGCUGAAAGAAGGCCUAAGGUGCGAGUAUAAAAGACAUGGCGGUACUGGUUCAACUCUUCGCUCAAGGUUGCAAACCAAGUCUUGAGGAAAGCAGAGGUCACCAUCAAAUUUCCAGCUGACACUGAAUUUCCAGGCACAACUGAGCACUGAUGAACCCGUGAGGUGGUGGUUGGCCGCAGAAAUUAAGCCUUGUUUGCAAGCUUUCACCAAUGUCACAUUCAUCAUUUUGACUGUCCUGAUUUUAUCAGUGGAAUCAAAAAUUUGUUCUUCCUGGUGAACAUUUCUCUUCAAGUCAUUUUGUUGUGGAAACAGAAAUAUUUACACAAUGAGGAUGAUAGAUGAUUGGAUGACAAAAUAAGUGCUUUUUAAACUCUCAUUAUACAUCUUAUUGGCAUUGGCUUUCUCAUUGUGAGCUGCAGGCUGCAGUUACCAGCCCUGUUGCUCUCUCCGUCCCAGCAGAUGCAGGAGCUGUGCUGGCAAGGCGAGGGGAUGUCAGUGCCUGAUGCCAUGCAGGGAAGUGAAGCAGCUUCACCUAGGACUGACAGCAGCCCUGCUCUGCUUACAGCUUUACUGUCAGAGGCAUUCUGCUUCAUAGCAAAAAUAUAUAUAUAUAUCUGCAGCCAGGACAAAAAUAUCUGUGAGGGCCGUGUGUAUCCCACAUCCGCCCACCAAUCUGGUUUGCCAGCCUGCCCCCAAACAGCUGUGUCAGCACAAGUGGGGAGGGAGAGGGAGGGAAGCCUGCAGCGGCGACCGCUUAAACCAGCCUUGCCAGAGAGAAGAGUGUGUGAAAGUGCAGGAAAUGGUACCAGAAGAUGUCUAGUCAUGGAUCCCGCAAGAGGCAGAAGCACCCUCUGCAAAUGUGCAGACAACAGCGGAUGAGGUGGUUGGCGGGGUGAGCACCAGCGCUUCCACUGAGCAGGACUUGGACAAUGUCAGGCAGACAGAAGCAUCCUGGAGCUGAGCAGAGACGCGGGAAGCACCGCACUGCGUUGGAGUGGCCCCAUGUGCCAGUUCAGGCUGGGAUGCAGCUGCCUGAGGAGCAGCCCUGUGGAGAAGGACCCACGGAUUACCUUGAAAGCAGUAAGGUUACCUUCAGUGGCAGACAACAGUUCUACUGGGAAGUGCAGCACUGGGACGGGUGACCAGACAGGCUGUGGGAUCGCCAUUCAUGGAGGUAUUCAAGACUCAACCGGGCAGAGCCACCAUGGGCUCAACCCAGUGCAGACUUCAGCCUUGUUUCGAGGUUCAGGUUGGGCUAGAGACACAGAGAGGUCCCUUCCCACCAACAUUUCAACAAGUCUGUGGAACCCAGCCUCAAGGGAUACUGUGCUCCAGGCAGGUUUCACUGCGCGUGCCUUGCCACCUCAUUCCCACUGAAGGCAAUAUCCAGGUUCAGCACACCGGUCAUGGCCAGGCACGUGGGCUCUCCACAGCUUCCCAGCUUUUGAAGAGAUUCAUAUAGUAAAAGGCCUACAAGCUGCUCUAUGGCAUGUGCUUUCCUGCCCCAUUGAGACUUCUAAGCAAAAAACAUCUGAAAAGUGGUUAUUUUUAACUCUGGAAGAAAGGCAUUAUUAUAAUUUCAACCUGGCAAAGCAACAGCAACAAGCAGGCACAUCCUCUCCAAAGUAAACUCCUCAGAUGUGAAAUGGUUCCAGGACAAUAAUUAGACACAGUCGAGCGUGUAGAAGGAUCCGAAAUGCUCCACCCCAGGGCAUGGAUCUGUUGUAGGACAGCACUAAGCCUGGAAAAGUACAUCACAGAGCCUUUCAUCCCCCUGAAACACUUUACAGUUUCAGCUCCUUGAAAGGAAAACAUUAAGACCCUCCAUGUACUUAAAAUGUCCUCUGAGGGGCUACUGAAAGACACUUUGUGCCGCAGCAGAAUCAUAUUUCUUGUGACCACUGGUCCUUCAUAAAUGCUGUAACCUGUAAAAUCUCGAAAUACGAGAAAACAAUGAGCAUCAUUAUUAUUAUUAUAUUUGGUCUUCGCUUCAAAGCGCGCUUCCAUUAAAUGAGGUUUUCCAUACAGAAAUACUCUAAUUAGAUGGUUCAUGAAACAAAUUUAUAACCAGGAAGAUAAACUAGAAGAGGAAGUGUGGUUUUCACAUCUCACCUACGUGCAGUCUGACUGUAAUUAUUCCCAGCUGGUGUAUCCGCACACGAGAGCAGUUUUGCAAUGACAGUCAUUUGUACAGUUACUCUAAUAACAGGUUAUUCCCUUAUUUUUCGUGGACUCAAUUUAAGACUCUUACUUCGUUUGCACAAUGAUUUUUAAGUCCAAGCAAUGGCACCUGCUGAGUCCCUGCAAGGGAAGGAGUGGUGAGGUGAGGAAAGCCUGAGCUCCACUCACUCACAGCACAUCUGCUUCCUCAAUAUUCCUUUCUCGUUCCGGUAUCCCAGAUACCUGCCUGCUCAAGGUGUCAGCUCUCAUCUCUGCAAACGCCAUGGGGAAAGUUAAUACACCUGUAUGAAGUUCGUGUGAUAUUGCGCGGUGUGGAUCUUGACUGUGCAAUAACCCUGAUGAGAUCAGCAGAAAUUAGCUUGACUGAGACGCAACAAAUUUUACUUGUUCCCACAGAACCUGGGGCAGGCGUGCUCGUGGGUUAAGAAGCGGUUAUUUCCAAAUCAGUUAAGAUAAAUCAGCACCGAUUCCAGACACUUUAACAUACAGAUCACCUGAUCGCUGAGGUUCCCCGCUGGUGUUCAUAAGGACUUCCAGGAGCGGGGUGGGACGGCAGUUUGAGGGCACGAACCUCAGUGAGUACCUUCAGAUAAGAUGAUGCAAGCAAUCCAAGCUCAGAACUGCCCUAAACCAAGGCUCGCUAUUUGUUGUUAUAGUGAAAAACCCAGCCUCGCUCCCUAGCCCUCCCCGGGACCAGCACUCCAGCUUUUCCCAUGGCGUAGUUAGGCAAGGGCAGCUCCGAUGCGCAGUGUUCAGUACUGAUAACUCCAUUGUGGCACACUGAGGGCAUAACCAAGGCAGGGUGUGCCAAACAGAAACCACUGACUUUGGAAGGAUUUGAGCUCGAGUGCACUCUUAUUUCAUAGCAAAGGCAAGCCCCGGGCUUUCAGAGGAUGUUUUCCUGUGUUCUGCAUUAAUCAAUGAGCGUCAAUUAACAAAAGUUUAGGUUGAGCUCGAGGAAGGAAAGGCAAAAAUAAUUGUGUCCUGAGACAGACAUCCCCUCAGCUUCUCAAGUCCCUAUUAACCACCUCAGAUGAAUUGGCAAUCAAUUAACUGAGAUUAAAAAGAGGGACAUCUAACGCACAAACCAUCUACUUCACUCCCAUCCUCGAGCAGAAGUGACUACCCAACCUCCUAUGUGUAUAUUCUUAUAAAUGUAACAUUACUUGGUCCAUAAAACAAUUCUGGUGGUUCAUUGCAGGACACGGACUCCUCUGACACUGAAACACACCAUGGACUUGUUCCAGGCUGUCCCUGACCAGGAAACGGAGUAAGCCACUUCUUAGAUGUCUGUUUAUAUGGCAUCAGCUGCAUGAUCACAGCAAAGUCCAUUCAGGUGUGCUAUAGGUUCAGAUUGCCCACUGUAAAAGAAAUGCGCAGUCCUGAAGACAGGUUAUCAUAGGUGGAGUAAAUAAUGAGAGACGUGAAAAAAUACUGGUGUGAAAUGGGAGGAUAAGCUUGUCUCACCUGGCUUUAGAGAGACAUACAGCUUGUAAACAUCUAUUUAGACUAGGGUGCUGCAUCCUGGACUCCCUGCACUGUGCUACUGAGAUCCCACUGUCUAUAAACACUAGAGAUCAUCAGAUCAGUCCUUCCAAACAUCUGCUUUCAUUUAUCAAAACAAGGUUAAGAUGCUUGAUGUUAGUUUAUAAACGUCUCUUGGGGAAGGGACUCCCUGUAACACAAACAGAAGAGGCGGUGGCACUGAGCUGGGAGCUGGCCCCAGCCUGCAGGCAGUCCCGUCCAGAACACCUGGUGUGAGCAGCAGCUAUCAUGAAGAUUAUUACGUGAGAGAAUGCCGUCAUCUUUCUCAUGAAUAAAUAAAACAAACCCCAAGUGGCAGUACAUAUUUGGCAGUGUCGAGGAGUCAGAUUUAUAUCCAGUUUUCAUAGCUGCACUUCAGUGUUCUCCACAUAUUUGGAGUGCCCAACGUUUUGGUUGUGUCUUUGUCACCUGUGCUUUUUUCCUUCAGAUACUCAAAUUAGAUGAUUUCUAAGCCCGGGCUUCAAUUAUCUUAUUUGGACUCUUCUACCCUUAGAAAAAAGUAAGAUUGCACCUUUUCGACCUCACAGAUCCGAACAGUGGUGCCCUGAUGAGUGCUCUGGUGAUUGUGUUCUGGGUGACACGGAACCCGUGGGGAAUUCCAGGAGAAAAUGCAUUGCGAUAAUAUUUACAAAAGAGGAAAAGGAGGAAGCUAGAUGGGAAUAUCUGAUAUAGGACUUCAGUGGUGCGGCAGCAGAGGCAGAGCGAUCCAUUUUGAAUCACAGGAGAUUAUCACCAGUAGCACUUAGAAAAUCUACAAUCUAAAUCAUUAGAUUUACAGAAGACCCAACGAUUGCCUUAGUGGAAGACACAUGAACGAUACCAAAUCUAGUUUGGAGUAGAAAAAAGUUUUGACACAGCCUGGCAGGAGUGCAGGAUAUGUAUAGGGACAGAGGGCAUCAGCCACACUCCUGGGACAAUCUGCAGAGGAGGGCACAGGUAACACUCCUCUGUUGGGUAAUGAUGAGAGAAGUGUAUCUCAAGAUAAGAUUUUGGAGCAGAGUGGCUUUAUUUUAAAAACAAGCCUGCUUUCACUCACACACUUGUACCCACGUAUUCACAAUCAGUACAGGUGUCCAUCAACCAGGAGCUGCUCAGGAUUCCUCGCAAUGACACAGUGGAAGGGACACGGCUAUGCACUCGUCACUGUGACUCCUGUGGCUCGUGGUCACUUUGGGACGUGUUCUGGGAAGGCUGGGGCUGACACCAGCUGCCCUCUUUCAUCUCCUCAUCCUGCCUUGUGCUGUAGGCCAUUGGAUCCAGCUCACUGCCCUUUCUCUCCUCCCUGAAUGCCCCACGGCUCCAUUCCAGCUCUUAUCUAUCAUCCUCCAUGGUCUCGGGCUUGUCUCAGCCUGACAAUAGGUUGUCCUUUGCUGUAGGCCAUCCUUUCUUUGCCUGAUCCACCCUGAAAAGCUACAUGUAGAUCUCAGCAGUUUGCGUGCCACUAAGAUGAGUGUGCCACUAAGCCAUGCUUGUCUUGUGCACCCUUUCUCCUGCCCCUGGUGCUUCCUAGCCAGCCACUCCCAUCCAAAACUUGUGUUUAUACACCUGUUUCAGAUCACUACCAAGUGGAGUUACCAGGAACACCUCUCUAACCCGCACGGCUAGGACAGCUGUGAGCUUUCCCUCCAGUCUUCCUGCCCAGUCACAGGUGUGUCAUUGCCAGCCCGAGCCCAGAUAUGCAUGGAUAAGUGUGAUGGGGGUGCUGCUGUAUCAGCUGUAGUGAUUUAGGGGCAGCAAUCACAGCUGUGAUCCCUUGCCAUCAAACUAUAGUGAACUUCACCCCGUGACCCUACGAGGGUCUCCUCAGGAGCCUGUGGAAGGUGACUGCACCAAGCUGGGCAGCUGACUGCAGAUCUGACUUCUUGAGGAUCCCCAUCUCCGCUGGAAAUUAAAACAAAAUAUGUUGAAAGACAUAGAACAAGAUAAUGCAAGAGACUUCCAGUGGUGCUGAAUGUGCUAUUCAUCACAAUCAAAAACUGCUGUGGAGUUUUUCAGUGCACGAUUGGAUGUCUGCAGCCUCAGCUCCGGAGGUAGAGAGGAGGAGCCCAGGAGCCAGUGGUAGUGGGCCCUGGGGGUAGGAAAGGAGCAUUCUGAUGGUGUUUGGUGGAGAUGUUGGCCAAGCCCCACACGGUACAACUGCUCACUGGUAACAUUGUACAGCUGGAAACAUGGCACCAGGUGAGCUGCCUGAAAGGCCAAAAUUAUGCCCUGUGGUGUGCUCAUGUUUGGUCAGAUGGCCUCCAUGCUACAUCCUUACAGCUGCAGUCAUCCCACUGGUGUGACCAGACCAGGCUUCCGUGGCACAACAUGAACAUCACGUCAGUAGUGGGAAGGCAUUGCCCAACAGCAGCUUGCAAGGCCUAAUGGCACCAUUAGACAAUGAGCCCUAAGGAAUCAGAGCCAAAGAGGUGGUGGAAAACCAUGUCUGAGCGUGUGCACCAUCUCCCUGCAGGCACAACAUAGCUGCAGAGGGCCUGGGGAGCACAAGGACAGGAAGGCCUCGUCACCCCCUCAGUAACAGAGUAUCCCUGAGUAGCUCUGGGCAGCACUAAGGUUUUUGUGUGCGCAUGCCCAUGGAUGGCUCAGGUUCCACCACGUCCUCUAUGGGUGCCCUCUGUGCUGCAUUCACACACCUUUGUGGCAGCAAAUCAUCAAUAUUUUUUUUUCCCCUUGCUGACUUGUCUUUUUGGAUAGAGCUUGCUUGCCCACAUGGGCAAGGUGUAUGUGGCCUUCCCCAGAGUGCAGCUCUGCCAAGGCCCCAUCUUGUGCCUCAGUUUCCCCACUUGUCCAACCAGGGAGCUGGGCCAUCUGCAGAGGAGCACUGGGAAGGUGGAAUGGUUAACACUUACUCCAUACUCUGGAGAUAGCGUUGUUUACAUCUAAUUACAUUUCAUGCCCUCACGUAAUAAAGUCAUCUUGGAUUAGAA
Long non-coding RNA from Numida meleagris (helmeted guineafowl), 6708 nucleotides. RefSeq lists it as uncharacterized. The transcript has 2 exons. The record is from RefSeq and is a predicted model, not a curated record. NCBI's taxonomy places the organism in Eukaryota, Metazoa, Chordata, Aves, Galliformes, Numididae.